UGGGGAAUCUUCCGCAAUGGACGAAAGUCUGACGGAGCAACGCCGCGUGAGUGAAGAAGGUUUUCGGAUCGUAAAACUCUGUCUUUUGGGGCGAACGUGAGUAUGGUGAACAAUCAUAGUCAGUGACGGUACCAAAGGAGGAAGCCACGGCUAACUACGUGCCAGCAGCCGCGGUAAUACGUAGGUGGCAAGCGUUGUCCGGAAUUAUUGGGCGUAAAGAGCGCGUAGGCGGGAUAGUCAGUCUGUUGUAAAGUGCGGGGCUCAACCCCGUGAUCGCAAUGGAAACACUAUUCUUGAGUGCAGGAGAGGAAAGUGGAAUUCCCAGUGUAGCGGUGAAAUGCGUAGAUAUUGGGAGGAACACCAGUGGCGAAGGCGACUUUCUGGACUGUGUCUGACGCUGAGGCGCGAAAGCCAGGGGGAGCGAACGGGGAUUAGAUACCCCCGGUAGUCCUGGGCCCGUAAAACAUGGGUACUAGGUGUGGGAGGUAUCGACCCCCUUCCGUGCCGGAGUUAACGCAAUAAGUACCCCGCCUGGGGAGUACGGUCGCAAGACCUGAAACUCAAAUGAAUUGACGGGGGUCAUAGCUGUUUCCU
RNAcentral lists this ribosomal RNA (594 nucleotides) under uncultured bacterium. RNAcentral's name for it is "partial 16S ribosomal RNA". It matches the Rfam family "Bacterial small subunit ribosomal RNA", at positions 355 to 938 of the family's 1533-position model. The record is from RNAcentral.